This 1502-nucleotide ribosomal RNA is filed under the name uncultured prokaryote. RNAcentral describes it as "partial 16S ribosomal RNA". It matches the Rfam family "Bacterial small subunit ribosomal RNA". The record is from RNAcentral.
GUUUGAUCAUGGCUCAGAUUGAACGCUGGCGGAAUGCUUUACACAUGCAAGUCGAACGGCAGCACGGAGAGCUUGCUCUCUGGUGGCGAGUGGCGAACGGGUGAGUAAUAUAUCGGAACGUGUCCAAUAAUGGGGGAUAACGAGUCGAAAGAUUCGCUAAUACCGCAUACGCCCUACGGGGGAAAGCAGGGGAUCGUAAGACCUUGCGCUUUUGGAGCGGCCGAUAUCUGAUUAGCUAGUUGGUGAGGUAAAGGCUCACCAAGGCGACGAUCAGUAGCUGGUCUGAGAGGACGACCAGCCACACUGGAACUGAGACACGGUCCAGACUCCUACGGGAGGCAGCAGUGGGGAAUUUUGGACAAUGGGCGCAAGCCUGAUCCAGCCAUUCCGCGUGAGUGAAGAAGGCCUUCGGGUUGUAAAGCUCUUUCAGCCGGGAAGAAAACUUAUGAUCGAAUAAAUCAUGAGGUUGACGGUAACGGAAGAAGAAGCACCGGCUAACUACGUGCCAGCAGCCGCGGUAAUACGUAGGGUGCAAGCGUUAAUCGGAAUUACUGGGCGUAAAGGGUGCGCAGGCGGUUUGGUAAGUCAGAUGUGAAAUCCCCGGGCUCAACCUGGGAACUGCAUCUGAGACUGUCAGACUGGAGUGUGUCAGAGGGGGGUAGAAUUCCACGUGUAGCAGUGAAAUGCGUAGAGAUGUGGAGGAACACCGAUGGCGAAGGCAGCCCCCUGGGAUAACACUGACGCUCAAGCACGAAAGCGUGGGGAGCAAACAGGAUUAGAUACCCUGGUAGUCCACGCCGUAAACGAUGUCUACUAGCCGUUGGGAGGCUUGACCUCUUAGUGGCGCAGCUAACGCAAUAAGUAGACCGCCUGGGGAGUACGGUCGCAAGAUUAAAACUCAAAUGAAUUGACGGGGGCCCGCACAAGCGGUGGAGCAUGUGGUUUAAUUCGAGGCAACGCGAAAAACCUUACCAGGCCUUGACAUCCUGAGAAUUCGCUAGAGAUAGCUUAGUGCCUUCGGGAACUCAGAGACAGGUGUUGCAUGGCUGUCGUCAGCUCGUGUCGUGAGAUGUUGGGUUAAGUCCCGUAACGAGCGCAACCCUUAUCCUUAUUUGCCAGCACGUAAAGGUGGGAACUCUAAGGAGACUGCCGGUGACAAACCGGAGGAAGGAGAGGACGACGUCAAGUCAUCAUGGCCCUUACGGCCUGGGCUACACACGUGCUACAAUGGUCAAUACAGAGGGCCGCAAGACCGCGAGGUGGAGCAAACCCCAGAAAAUUGAUCGUAGUCCGGAUCGGAGUCUGCAACUCGACUCCGUGAAGUCGGAAUCGCUAGUAAUCGCGAAUCAGCAUGUCGCGGUGAAUACGUUCCCGGGCCUUGUACACACCGCCCGUCACAUCAUGGGAGUGGGCUGCAAAAGAAGUGGCUAGUUUAACCUUCGGGAGGACGCUUACCACGGUAGUAUUCAUGACUGGGGUGAAGUCAUAACAAGGUAACCGUA